CAGUCUCUGGCAAAAAACAUUGUAGAAAAAGUUAGAUGUUCAAGAGCUCCCUGCCCCCUUAUUUUUCUCUCCUCAGGUAAGAGCAACAUUCUCUUCAAGUUGCUCUCUUUGUCUUUAAAUCAAAAUUGUCUGAACCUGAUGACUUCCACAUAUUUCUUAUGCUUCUCCAAAUCUUGUUUACUUGUCUAGGAACCUGGAUUACAGUUUGGCUUGUCUGGGAUUUCUCCAWUUGAUGCCAGCAUCAGAGGCUGGAGAUGCUGGAUGUGAACAGUCCUGUGAACUCCAAUCCAUUUUGCUACUUCUCUUCCAUCUCUCAUGYGUAAUCAAAGGAAAUAAUCCUUUAUCAGCAGACAUGGAAGUGCCUAGACAGCCAUUACAUCUCUAAAACAUGACAAAGAGCACAACAUCAAGGAGUGCUAUCGUGCUGCUGUGUUUUGAAGAAUGAUGUGCUGCAACAAAUGUUUAUUUUUCCUGACUGAUGUGAAAGAUGUAAAAGAAAGCUGUUUUUAAAGAUCAUAUUGGGGAAUUGAUCUCAGGAAGAAAGAUUAUCCUUGAAAUAACCUUUCCUAUGUCUGAAAGAAUACAGUUUCAGAAGUAACUAUAGAUGUGUUUGAAUGGGAAGAGAUUCUCAGAAUGAGGUGUGAUUAUUCCUCAGCACAGAUGUUCUCACCAGUGCCUGUUCACUGUGCAAUGAACCUUUCGAGAGAUGCAAUUAGAAUUGCUUAGUACUGUUGGGAGCUCUGAGCAUUAGAGACCUAGGACUGGAUCUGCAACAGAGUUCAAGAUGCACUUCCCUCAGCAGGGAGUAUAGGAGUGUGAUGGCUUUGUUCAGGUUUGAAAUCAAGGAACCAAAAGGGUGUUCGAGCACCAACUUGUCCCCAUGUAAUUUACAGCAACUUUAAGGCAAUCUCUGUGGAGAUCAAGGGCAUUUCUGGUACUCUGUGCUAGUACAGUAGUUCUGUCACUUUUAACUAGUGCUGCUUUACAGAGCCAGCUCUGCGUGUAGGCAAAACUCAGUUUUGCUGACCCCAGGAAGAGGACAAAUUAACGACACAAUUCAACUUUGCAUUGGCAGCGCAGUGGCUUAUAUACCAGGAUUGAGGUACCAACUCAAAUAAGCACUUUGCCCUCCCCAAAAUAGUCUUGUUUUCUGUGUGCCUGGCUCUAUUCUACCUCCUUGGCCUUCCCCUUGUCAACACUAAGGAUCUUGCAAAAGAGUGAGAUCCU
Molecule: long non-coding RNA, 1227 nt
Filed under: Dromaius novaehollandiae (emu)
Lineage: Eukaryota; Metazoa; Chordata; Aves; Casuariiformes; Dromaiidae
Description: lncRNA (ENSDNVG00000008325.1)
Source: RNAcentral